Molecule: long non-coding RNA, 526 nt
Organism: Helianthus annuus (common sunflower)
Lineage: Eukaryota; Viridiplantae; Streptophyta; Magnoliopsida; Asterales; Asteraceae
Exons: 3
Source: RefSeq, a predicted model, not a curated record
AUCCAAGACUACAUGCAAACACUCCUCAUUUCACUUUCAUAAUUUACAACACCAAAACUUUCAUCUUUCCUUUUCCCUUCUUUGUUGAAAUCGGCCAAGCCAAACAAUUCCCAUCUUCACUUCCAAAAAUCUAAACAGCUAGAAAUUCGUACAUACAUGGAGGUGCAUGGUUGAUUCAAAGCAUUUCCAAGACUUGAAGAUACACUAGAAGCACUUUGGUAGCACUAGGAGUUCUUGAAUCAUCAACAUUUUCAUAUCAUCAUCUUUAUUUUUCUAGCAAAAUUGUUAAGAAACGAACCGCGAACAAGGAAUCGAAUAGAGAUUUGCACGGAACGCAAAUCUGAGAUUAGUGGACGGCUUUGGAAAAAUAUGUUCAAGUGGUUAUCAAGAACACAAGCUUUUGUGAUGUCAUCCAUUUUUGGUUGUUAUGUUUUGAACUUUGAAUAAUGUAGUUAAAGUUGUUGUUGUUUCAUGUUUCAAACAAGACAUAUGUAAUGUAAAUUAUGGUUUCGAAUCAAAUGUAUGG